CUACGGGGGGCUGCAGUAAGGAAUAUUGCGCAACGGAGGCAACUCUGACGCAGCCAUGCCGCGUGCAGGAAGAAGGCCUUAUGGGUCGUAAACUGCUUUUAUUUAGGAAUAAACCCCCGAACGUGUUCGGGGCUGAAGGUACUAAACGAAUAAGCACCGGCUAACUCCGUGCCAGCAGCCGCGGUAAUACGGAGGGUGUAAGCGUUAUCCGGAUUUAUUGGGUUUAAAGGGUGCGCAGGCGGGCUAUUAAGUCAGUGGUGAAAUCCCGGGGCUCAACUCCGGAACUGCCAUUGAUACUGAUAGUCUUGAGUUUGGUUGAAGUGGGCGGAAUGUAGCAUGUAGCGGUGAAAUGCAUAGAUAUGCUACAGAACACCAAUCGCGAAGGCAGCUCACUAAGCCAAAACUGACGCUCAUGCACGAAAGCGUGGGGAUCAAACAGGAUUAGAUACCCGCGUAGUC
This 459-nucleotide ribosomal RNA is filed under the name uncultured bacterium. Its description in RNAcentral is "partial 16S ribosomal RNA". It matches the Rfam family "Bacterial small subunit ribosomal RNA", at positions 339 to 795 of the family's 1533-position model. The record is from RNAcentral.